Halichondria panicea is the source of this 3901-nucleotide long non-coding RNA. RefSeq lists it as uncharacterized. The transcript has 5 exons. NCBI's taxonomy places the organism in Eukaryota, Metazoa, Porifera, Demospongiae, Suberitida, Halichondriidae. The record is from RefSeq and is a predicted model, not a curated record.
CGUUGAUGAGCUUGUACAUUGCUGUUUUCUGGAUUUUUUCUUCCAGAAAGAUCGCUGUUCCUGAAAGAUCACUGUUACGGUGCUGCAACAAUACAUCGCUCAUUUCACUCUCAACUCUAAUGACUACACAAAACUAGCUGUAGAUAUUCACUUAGACAGGAUGUUGCUACAAGUUGAUCAAGAGGCCUGUGGCCAUUGCGAAAAAAAUCUUUAAGAGACACAAAAAACUAUAAAAGGCCAGAUUGUAACAGUCUGGAUUAGUUUUUUUUAUGUAGGGUAGACCAAGCUAGACGUCAGUCAUACUGUGUAUCUGAUGACGGCUAAGACUGAUACAAUCCCACUGAUCGUGAUGGUGGUAGUCUUCGUGAAUACAAAGCAUGUGAUUUAUACCACAAUGCCUGGUACAGGUACAGAGUAACCUAAACAAAACAUCAGCCAAGACUGCAAGAGGCUCAAGCAUCCAAGAUGCAGUGGUGAGAGUGUGAGUUGUUACGAUUGUAAGUUAUGACUUGUUUUUAUCGACAUAUAUGCAGUCCAGACAUACAUGCAGUCCAAAUAUGAGCAGACAAGAAGAACUCAUUUCUUUCUCAAUCUUCUGACGAUGAGUAAUAAUUAUAGUGGUAAUAAUUAUAGUGUUUGAUGUUGUGACAAGGUUGUAACAACCAACCGGCUAGGUUGUAGACAACCUUGUCACAACCACAAACAACAUUGUCAUUUCUAUAUGGGAGGAUCUACUACACAAAAUUGGACGGGAUCGAAGUAUGGUAAUUCCAAUAAAAAUUAAUAAUGCUGUAACGGACCCCAAAAUCUCUCUCGAUACUUUUUUGAGCAGAACGGGUUUUGCACUGUACGUUUGCACUGUACGUAUUGAGUGGCGACACGUCUAUGCUCCUGAAAAGAUCUUUGAGUCCCAGUCCAAUGGGAUUUGUCAAAAUCUGAAUAAUCUGCCUUUUCACUAAAACUUUUAGUUGAAAAUAUUAGCAGACAUUUGGUACAACCUUUAACUGCUCCAUGGCCUACAAAUCCACAAACCUUCCUGCCGGCAGUACUACAGAUCAAAGCUGCUCUAACAAGUAAGGAUGAACCAUCCGUCUUCUGAAGAUCUUCAACUAAUGGUGUGAGGAAUGAGUUCAUGUGUAGAGAAGGUUCUUUAGGACCAGGUAUUUAUUAUGUAAAUAGCGUUCCGUUCUUGGUAGAUUCAAGACACUUAAGUAGAUGGCACCUUCAGAAUGUUGUGUAUGCUUAAAUGGAUUGAACCAAUCAACGUUUAACUGAAAUGCAUAAUUGCCCGGGAGUGUUAAAAACGGAUUACCAUUCGGAGCAAGGAAAUUCUUCCAAACAACACCAUCGUAUAUCCGAAUAAACACCAUCACUACUAGCUCGCUCACGCCACAAUUCGCAUUUGUCAAAAAAGCUAGGCCUUCUUAGCAUCUCUUGGAGAGAGAGACUGUAUGAUGCUUUGGUAACAGUAUAAAUGCCUUGGAUAAAACAUCACCCUUCCAUUUCUCAGCCUUACUUCUUUCAAGAGUAUUUCGUUACAAGGCUUGCGAUGUUGCACUUGAGGGUGGUUGGGAAACUUCACAUAGGAAUAGCGUUUUGACUCCGAUUUUUGAUUACGUGUUUCGUAGAAACACUCAUUCCUAGAGUACUAGAGUACAAGCUCUUACACGAAGGGCAACAUACAAAUUUCGUGAACUGAUGUUCUUGUCCACGUGCAGUCCUGAUGCCGUCUGGUAAUGCAUCCAAAAAGGAUUUGGGAAUUGCCACCAUGAAAAGGAAUAAAAACUUCAACAAAGUAUUAAGUGCUGUAUCUUAAAGAUCGUCUGAAACAUAAACAGGAAAAAUAGGUACAGUUGAACAAUGGCCUCCGUUUCAUCUAUGGCAUACAGUUAAGUCGAAUAAAUCAAAUAAAUUAGGAUCAUCAUCGUACGCUUCGAUCUCUUCUAAAACAUUCAACAUUCACCUGCAAUGUAUAAGAUUGGUUCAAACUGGCGUAUACAUGUAGCUAUUAAUUUAUUUACACAUGAAAACAAGUUCAGGUACAUGAAGCUAGGCCUACUUUACCUGUACAUCAUCAUCCUCUUCUGAUAUUACAUCAUCCUCUUCUGAUUCUACAUCACUUACUGCCAAUUCAUCAUAUUCUGAUUGCAAUCAGAUAAUCAGUCAAUAAUGAAUUCAUGUCAAUGAAUUACUAGAUCUAGAUCCGUGCACGGAUCACUACAAUUACGUACGUCCAGCCACUGAACUUGUAGUGAUACCAUAGAUGAUGCACUGUACAGAGCUAGCUAGAGCCAUAAUUAUCUGUAGCUUCUUGAUUAGGACUUGGAGAAGAUGAGGACUUGGAGAAGAUGAACGAGAUCUAUCCUUAGAUCUACAUAGAGGAUCAUUUGAACUCAGGUCUCUAGAGCCACAGUUUUCGAUCGAAAACACUUCGUCAUAAGCGGUCUGAUUGAAUACUCGUUUACUUUUCCAUUCACAAAUUCUUACGUCAUAGUACAAACGGCGAUGCUCCGUUUUGAAACUCUCUCUGAGCAGUGUCCACAGACGACAAGCUUGGGUCUUGCAGUGUCCAUAGUAUUCAGUAUUCAGCUGGUAUUAAAAUUCUGGAUGGUGCUCUCUAUUUAGAUGUUAAAAGAUCAUAAGCAGCAUGACCUCUUGACCUCGAACUAAAGUGAUGUCACAUGACAAUCUUGGGUGUUUCAUUGGUACAUUUAGGCGCCAAGCAUAGGCUAGCUAUGAGUACCUAUAGAACAGCUAGGCCUAGUAGCCUGGCUAGUAGAUUUGUGUCUUCGAGCCACAGACGUUCUAGGAAUUCCUACACCGCUGAUGUGAAGUAGCAGAGAGAAUUUCAACUGAUCUAGGAGGUUUGAGACUGUCUGCGACUGUCUGCACAAAACAAUAAUUUUUUUAAUAUAGACAUUUAUUUUCUGCAGAACUCGAUCUACAUCAACUCCUUCUCAAGCGCGAGGAGGAGGAGCAAGACCACUAUAUGCGUAUUUACAGUGGUAGCUUUCGUUCACUUGCGGAUCUGUAAGAUCCAGAUGCAGAUCUAGAUGUAGAUGAUGAAGCUGAUCUCCCAAGAAGCUGAUCUCCCUGGGACAUAUGAAGCAGAAACUCCCCAGUCAGGAACAAGUGCGGUAGAACAAGUGCGGUAACUCCUUCAUGGACAUCGAGGAACUGGUGACAUCAACUUGGUUGCUCUUAUUCAAGAGCAGCAGCAAUUGACCUCCAGACAAGACGAUUUUCAGUCGAAACUUUCUGAGUUAACAAGCAAGGUGAACUCAUACUCUGGCAGCUCCGCCGAUAGCAGCCCUGCACAUGUACUUACAGAGGAAGGUAGCAGCACAUUAUGAAGCGGAAGGUCCUUGAUGCUAUAAUUAUGAAUAUGUAAAUUGUAUUGUAUACAGAUCAACAUCUGAGUAUAUCAACAUCCGAGUAUAAUGUUGCCAUUAAGAACAAGAUUGUCACAGAGAUUUGUUCAAUGCCUGACUGUCAGUAUCAGCAAGCAUCAGCAAGAAGCUCUGCUGUACAGCGCAAGUACGAAAGUGUUCGUAGACAGUGGAUUAUGAAAGGAAAGGAAAACUUUGACCAACUGUCAGUCUAAAAAUAAGAAGUAUAGAGCCAGACGAAAAAGACUCAGCAGGCAGCACAACCGUAGCUCUAUUCUCAUAUUGCGAGUGAUCCCAACAACUUGAUAAUUCAUUGCGGUGCUCUCAACAACUGACGGACUUACUCUUGACCCUUAGUACUCUUGACCCUUAGUCGCCAGGAAAACAAGAAAGACACCAUUCUUUCUACAAAUCCACCUCGGCCAGAUAUCUCAGAUUGGAUGAUAGCUCCAGAAUGGAAGAGAGAUUCAACUGCUGCUCUGUCUGAAAUAAACUGAACUGAAACUGACUAU